This is a small nucleolar RNA of Varanus komodoensis (Komodo dragon), 138 nucleotides long. The record is from Ensembl. Lineage: Eukaryota; Metazoa; Chordata; Lepidosauria; Squamata; Varanidae.
UUUCCUCAGCCUUACUCCAGGGGCUCUUUAAACCCGUAGGUGCCUUGGCAUUGCCUGAGGAUAUAUUGAAACUAUGCUCAAUUCCCUCCCCAAGAGGACUCUUGCCUUUCUUUGGGGCCUACAAUUUGAGCACACAUC